This 126-nucleotide ribosomal RNA is filed under the name Escherichia coli 1-176-05_S1_C1. Its description in RNAcentral is "partial 16S ribosomal RNA". It matches the Rfam family "Bacterial small subunit ribosomal RNA", at positions 1402 to 1527 of the family's 1533-position model. The record is from RNAcentral. Lineage: Bacteria; Pseudomonadati; Pseudomonadota; Gammaproteobacteria; Enterobacterales; Enterobacteriaceae.
CCAUGGGAGUGGGUUGCAAAAGAAGUAGGUAGCUUAACCUUCGGGAGGGCGCUUACCACUUUGUGAUUCAUGACUGGGGUGAAGUCGUAACAAGGUAACCGUAGGGGAACCUGCGGUUGGAUCACC